GACGAACGCUGGCGGCGUGCUUAACACAUGCAAGUCGAACGCUGAAGCUCAGCUUUUGUUGGGUGGAUGAGUGGCGAACGGGUGAGUAACACGUGAGUAACCUGCCCCCUUCUUUGGGAUAACGCCCGGAAACGGGUGCUAAUACUGGAUAUUCACUGGUCUUCGCAUGGGGGUUGGUGGAAAGGGUUUUUCUGGUGGGGGAUGGGCUCGCGGCCUAUCAGCUUGUUGGUGGGGUGAUGGCCUACCAAGGCUUUGACGGGUAGCCGGCCUGAGAGGGUGACCGGGCACAUUGGGACUGAGAUACGGCCCAGACUCCUACGGGGGGCAGCAGUGGGGAAUAUUGCACAAUGGGCGCAAGCCUGAUGCAGCGACGCCGCGUGAGGGAUGGAGGCCGUCGGGUUGUGAACCUCUUUCGCUAAUGGUCAAGCCGCAACAAUGGUUGUGGUGAGGGUAGUGGGUAAAGAAGCGCCGGCUAACUACGUG
Molecule: ribosomal RNA, 483 nt
Filed under: uncultured bacterium
Lineage: Bacteria
Description: partial 16S ribosomal RNA
Rfam family: Bacterial small subunit ribosomal RNA
Source: RNAcentral